This 241-nucleotide unclassified non-coding RNA is filed under the name Hevea brasiliensis (rubber tree). The record is from RNAcentral. Lineage: Eukaryota; Viridiplantae; Streptophyta; Magnoliopsida; Malpighiales; Euphorbiaceae.
UCGUCCGCCGCGGCGUACACCCCGUCCUCCGCUUACCCCCCGCGCGCCGUCAUCGAUUCACCUGCCUUCCCCCAGCCCUACUACUCCCACUACCCCGCCAACUCGGUAGCUCCAGCCCCGGCGCAGCUGCACAUCAACACAAUCUUCAUCUCAGGCCUCCCCGACGAUGUCAAGCCCCGGGAGAUUCACAACCUCUUCUCCCGCCGUCAAGGCUUCGAGUCCUGCCAGCUCAAGUACACCG